RNAcentral lists this non-coding RNA (151 nucleotides) under uncultured Agathobaculum sp. Its description in RNAcentral is "glmS glucosamine-6-phosphate activated ribozyme". It matches the Rfam family "glmS glucosamine-6-phosphate activated ribozyme aptamer". From Rfam's summary of the family: This entry contains a glucosamine-6-phosphate activated ribozyme that is found in the mRNA for GlmS. GlmS is an enzyme that uses fructose-6-phosphate and glutamine to generate glucosamine-6-phosphate. Lineage: Bacteria; Bacillati; Bacillota; Clostridia; Eubacteriales; Butyricicoccaceae. The record is from RNAcentral.
AAGUUGAAGCGCCAGAACUGCGGUGCAGCCGGUAUCGCAGUUGACGAGGAAAGGGUUUAUCGAAAUCUUCGGCGGAUGCCCUUCGGCCACGAGUGGGUUGGUCGUCAGCAGGCUGUUAAAGCACACAGGUGACUGUGCGGACAGAGCAGCU